RNAcentral lists this ribosomal RNA (429 nucleotides) under Bacillota bacterium. RNAcentral's name for it is "Firmicutes bacterium partial 16S ribosomal RNA". It matches the Rfam family "Bacterial small subunit ribosomal RNA", at positions 355 to 776 of the family's 1533-position model. Lineage: Bacteria; Bacillati; Bacillota. The record is from RNAcentral. RNAcentral also lists the same sequence under 1 other name.
UGGGGAAUUUUGGACAAUGGGCGAAAGCCUGAUCCAGCCAUUCCGCGUGCAGGAUGAAGGCCCUCGGGUUGUAAACUGCUUUUGUACAGAACGAAAAAGCUCUGGUUAAUACCUGGAGUCCAUGACGGUACUGUAAGAAUAAGCACCGGCUAACUACGUGCCAGCAGCCGCGGUAAUACGUAGGGUGCAAGCGUUAAUCGGAAUUACUGGGCGUAAAGCGUGCGCAGGCGGUGAUGUAAGACAGUUGUGAAAUCCCCGGGCUCAACCUGGGAACUGCAUCUGUGACUGCAUCGCUGGAGUGCGGCAGAGGGGGAUGGAAUUCCGCGUGUAGCAGUGAAAUGCGUAGAUAUGCGGAGGAACACCGAUGGCGAAGGCAAUCCCCUGGGCCUGCACUGACGCUCAUGCACGAAAGCGUGGGGAGCAAACAGG